AAGGGCAGAUCAUGCACAAGUAGUUCCAGACACCAAGGCCUCGUCCUCCCACAGCCCAGUGCCUCGUGACCCUGGCUGCCAGCCUUCAGUCCCACAGGCAGGUUCAGAUGACUGUCCCGAAGCAGAUGUCAUCCAUCCCAGGAGUUUACAGACAGUGACGGGGCUGCCACACCACCAGCUGACCAGGGUAAGAAUGGUACCUGAAUCCUGGGAGUAGCUGAAGCCAGUGUCACCGGUGCUGCUGCUGUGCCCCAGGGACUGUCCGCCUGCCAUGAGAGCCGUGAGGUGUGGGGACAGGCCCAAGUCUGAAAGGCAAAGUUGGCAUCGAUGGAAUAAGCGCAGGCUGCUCAGAGACUCACUGAGCUCCCCAGGGGGAACCUUCUUGCCCACGUCAGCCUCCACGACAGACAGAGGGGAAAGCGAAGGUGAGCGGUCAUGUGAGGAAGCCUUCCAGGCACGCACACGAGAAAUGUAACCCCCAGGACUUCCAUUUGAAUAGUUAAAAACUCUUCCCCGAGGUGGAGUCUGUGGAGAAGCAGCAAAGCAGAAGGAUGAAGACAGAAGGAAGGAGCGACCUGGGAAGGAGAACCGAGUGUCUCCAGACAAAGGAACUGAGGUGGGUGAAGAGGCCUGGAAACAGUCUCGUCCUCAUGUAGAGCCGCUAAGGCUUGGGAACUGCAGGCCCAGGAGACUGCCCGACAGACCGUGGACUCCACAGACAGUCUCUGUAGGAAGCAGCUGGACCCCGCUGGGGCUCUUCCCAGCCUCAGAACCCCAUCCCGCGUCAGCAGAACAGAGAGAACAAACCAGGAGCGGUGCCCAGGAGCGGUGGCACUGAGACAUCAGGGGCAAAGGGACCAGUAAGACUGAGGAAGCCAUGAGAGCCUAUGAGAGAACGCUCCCCAGCAAAAUGGACCAGAAAAGACAAGUGCGCGCGGAGAGCAGGGAGCCAGGGAGAUGGCCCCGAAGGAGCGCCCUACAACCAGGAAGCCUCCUGAGCCUACCUCACCAGAGGCUUCCUAGUGUCUUCCUUCCAAAGUGGAAGGGAUGGCAGGGACCACCACACAGUCAAGGACAGUCCCUAGCACAACAGACAUGUGAGAAACAGAGAGAAAAGAGAGAGACGUAGACCUGAUGGGAGAUGACAGAGACCUUUAAAAGAACUGGGCACCCACGGAGACAGCUGAUCCGAGCUAGUGGGAGCUCGUGGACUCUGGACUGACAGUUUGGGGACCUAUAUGGGACCCCUGCAUGUGAGUGACAGUUGUGUGGCUUGGUCUGUUUGUGGGACCCUCAGCAGUGGGACCAGAAUUUAUCUCUGGAGCAUGAGCUGGCUUUUUGGAGCCCAUUCCCUAUGGUGGAUGCCUUGCUCAGCCUUGAUGCAGGGGGGGAGAGACUUGGUCCUGCCUAGACUCGAUAUGCCCUAUGGGAGGCCUUACCCUCUCUGAGGGGGUGGAUGGAGGUGAGGAUGGG
Alexandromys fortis (reed vole) is the source of this 1473-nucleotide long non-coding RNA. RefSeq lists it as uncharacterized. NCBI's taxonomy places the organism in Eukaryota, Metazoa, Chordata, Mammalia, Rodentia, Cricetidae. The record is from RefSeq and is a predicted model, not a curated record. The transcript has 3 exons.